UCACGUGACAAACCCGGAAUUUUUCUUCCUGGGAGUUGUCGUUGAUUAUACAUUUCACCUGUUGACGUAUUGCGGAUGGAAUUUAUUGGAAUUUUAUUGAAAUGUGCGUUUUCCAUCGCAUUAUGAUUACAAAUAGAAGCAUCAACGCACUGACUAUAACAUUUUUUUUGCGUUUACAUUCAAAUAUAUAUUUGUAUGUAAUACAAAAUAUUGAAAUCUGACGGUAUCAGGGAAACCUGUGUUUUCAUACUAGAAGCCCUUGUAGUUACAGCAAAAUCUCCCCACGUAUUGUCAUAAAGGCAACAAUUAAGUGGAAUUGUUUAUUUUUCCUUUCACAUCCAUCCAAAGUGGAUGGCGCAGUCGUAACGGACUACGUCAUCGAAGAUGGGCUGAGCGGGAGAAUCAACAGUGCAGCACAGGACAGCUCAGCCAACGAGUGUGGGUGGAUCAGCCUUAUGGCUUCAGUCAUUCAUCCAUCCGUGAUGGCAUCAAAGACACAAAAGCAGAGAGAGAAGGACAUGUACAUGCUGUACCUUGAAGUUUCUUUGCAUCAAAACAUACUCGAAAGUGUGUGUGUGGGUAUGUGUGUAAUGCAUGUUUUAAACAAAUUUGGGGAAGGGGUGAAAGGAUUACAGCUGUCUCGUGGCUGUGGGAAGGAGCAAAGCAUUUCUUCCCAAUGGUCAUUCCCAUGAACCCUUUGCACUGCAGGGGCACAGUGGGAGGCAAAACUAAGGACAGGGGAGUGUAUCACCGCUGGCGAGACGAUGCACAGUCAAACUGCCAGCCAAACAUAGUAGAAAAUAAAUUACUGAUGGGAUUUACUGUAGAUCAACUCUUAAGCAGAUUUUUUUGUUUCUAAACUUUGUAGCCUUUUUUUUUCUUGGUUUCAAGACUACAUAUCAGACGUCACCUUUGCCGUAGCAUCAGUCCAUUGUCAACAGGUUUUGCCCAUGUGAGAUCUACCAGGCACUCUCUAUGGAGGGCAUGAUUAGGACAAGAAGGCUGGGCAUCCCAGCCCCGAAAGCAGCCAGAAAAUAGACCCAUACUAUGAUAAGGGUGAAUAAUCCAGAACAGUUUAUGGAAUUUACAAGCUUGUCAUGGUUUCACUCCCAUAUCCUCCAGCAAAGCACAUUUACUGUGAAGGAAACGGCAGAAAUAAUCAUAUCAUGCAAUGGUGUUCAGGGAGCUUGAGGAGACGGCUAAACUUCCAAGUCCUUCACUGUCACAGCUUGAAUGGAUGACUUCACAGAACUUUUCCUGGAGGGGUAAAAUGCCUUGGCUGCAUGUUUCACAUCCUGGCACUAACUAGUUGGAUGUUUUUGUUGAAGACUACAUUCCAUGAAAUAUGUUUCUGUAAUUUUUACGAUCACAUUAGAAUUCGGAACAGAUUUGUUUGCUGUGAAAAUGUUUGUUGCGUUCGGUCUGGCCAGACUGUCUCCCGCAGUGGUGUGUUGUGUAUGAAGUUCGAGACCAUUUAUCUGUAAGCUUGUACAAACACAUGUACACUCACAAAAACAAGAUGGCGCCUACACGGGUGGACGCCUUAGUAACACGAUCGCUAUUAUUGUCGUUGGUUUUGUCUUUUUUUGUUUGUCUUGUCAUAGUGGCUGUUUGUUGUCGUGAAAUAAAGCUGAUUCUGAACACAGUA
Syngnathoides biaculeatus (alligator pipefish) is the source of this 1648-nucleotide long non-coding RNA. RefSeq lists it as uncharacterized. Lineage: Eukaryota; Metazoa; Chordata; Actinopteri; Syngnathiformes; Syngnathidae. The record is from RefSeq and is a predicted model, not a curated record. The transcript has 3 exons.